This 253-nucleotide ribosomal RNA is filed under the name uncultured bacterium. Its description in RNAcentral is "partial 16S ribosomal RNA". It matches the Rfam family "Bacterial small subunit ribosomal RNA", at positions 524 to 776 of the family's 1533-position model. The record is from RNAcentral.
UACGUAGGGUGCGAGCGUUAAUCGGAAUUACUGGGCGUAAAGCGUGCGCAGGCGGUUGUGCAAGACAGAUGUGAAAUCCCCGGGCUCAACCCGGGAACUGCGUCCGAUACUGGAAGGCUUGAAUCCGGGAGAGGGAUGCGGAAUUCCAGGUGUAGCGGUGAAAUGCGUAGAUAUCUGGAGGAACACCGGUGGCGAAGGCGGCAUCCUGGACCGGCAUUGACGCUGAGGCGCGAAAGCCAGGGGAGCAAACGGG